UGUACACAAGAAGGUGGGGACAGUUUUCUAAUGUGUCUUAGUACAACCUGGAAUUUAUAACGAAUGGUUACAUUAGUUUCAACAAGGGCAGAAAACAACUACAACAAGGCUAUCGAGUUUAUGAGGAGCUUGUCCUGACAUAUUCAUUUCACCAUACUCACGAUGACAUAAGUUGGAAACAGAUCUGAAAUGUCAAUAUGAAUCGGAGUGAAAGGAUUUCUUCUGAUCUCAAUUAUGGAUUUCAUUUGCUUUAUACACAGUUGACCCAUGGCAUCUGUAACAGUCAUGUGAGGCACAGGUCAGUAAGGUGUCUACAGUGCUUCAAUUCACUCUGCAGAGUUGCUUCCCUUUGGCGGACCAGGAUCCUAUGAUUCUUAGUUUGAAUCCAGUUUCUCUGACUGUGUUUCUUGGAUUGUGAGCAGGAUGUUUGGGUUUCACACCAAGUUAACUAUUUGGAAUUCUUCCAAAAUGGCUUUAAAUUAAAAAUCACUUUAAAAUAACUCACCCUGUCCAGUUGUCUGAACUGCUGUUGGAGUGACAGCUGUCAGUGUGGUGAUUCCUCAGUGUUGUACAUUGUCCUAUUGAAUCAAAGAUUCACAUGAAGUGUGUAGCAGUACUUCAGCGAGUGGGAAAUGGUCCAGUCUCUCGCCCAGACACCAGCAAGUAUAGUAAUUUAGUGAAUAGUGAAUAUGCUCAAGCCAAAAUAUUUUUUUCAAGCACAUAUUGACUCAGUCCUUGAAAUUAGAACUAUUCUGUGCUCCAUUUAGAUUUUAUGCUAUCAUUUUUGUAGAUAAUCAUUUUUAAAUGAGAUCUGGACUAUCAGUAAAUGUUUAUCUACAAACGAAUGUAGUAUUUUCUGUUUUCCUAGGUAAAGUGAGUGAGUGAGGUUUUUUUUACGCUGCUUUUAGAAAUAUUCGAGCAACAUCACGGUGGGGGACACCAGAAAUGGGCUUCACACAUUGUACCCAUGUAGGGAAUCGAACCCGGGUCUUCGACGUGACGGGCCAACGCUUUUACCCACUAGGCUACCCCACCAGCCCUCCCAGGUAGAACCCCUGCCUAGUUUCUUUUCGGGUUUUUUCAUAAUGAAGGAUGCAUUUGUGACGAUGAGUUAGUCACAGUGUUGUCGAGUUUACAUUUAGUGUACCCAAUCAUGCAACUUAUGUCUGAAUGUAGAAAUGUUUAACAUGCUAUAGGUGGGGUUUGAGGUGAUGGGAUUUCUUGCAUCUGCAAGUGGAAUCCCACUGACCACCGAGGAUGGCUUCCAAACAUUGGCAGAUUUAGUGAAGAGUAGUAGGUGUAAAACACCUUGAUACCAUCUGCCUGAGUGAAUAAUUGUGUUAAUCCCGCUGUAAACAGUAUUCAGCUCAACUGUCUUUAGGGAUACCUUGGCAAUAAUGGAACAACAGGGAUAUCCCUGUUUGAAGUUGAGUAGUAUAAACAUUGUGACGGACCAUUGAUAUUCUUGUGGGACGUUUUUGUUAAAAAGACAAUUUGUACCAGAAUAUCCAAGGAAUAGACAAUUGUUUUAACUUCUUUUUUUUCAAAACAGUAGUUUAGACAGUUACUGAAAAAAUAUCCAAAUCAAAAUAUGAGCAUGUCUCCCUCCAGGAUAUUCCUGGUCUGGUCAAUAAGGCGUCUAUGAGAGAGGGAGUCCUGUCUUAUAGAGAAGGCUGUUAUUGUUGAUACAGUUCCUGGUCUGGCCAAUAAGGUGUCUAUGAGAGAGGGAGUCCUGUCAUAUAGAGAAGGCUGUUAUUGUUGAUACAGUUCCUGGUCUGGCCAAUAAGGUGUCUAUGAAAGAGGGAGUCCUGUCUUAUAGAGAAGGCUGUUAUUGUUGAUACAUUUCCUGGUCUGGCCAAUAAGGCGUCUACGAGAGAGGGAGUCCUGUCUUAUAGAGAAGGCUGUUAUUGUUGAUACAGUUCCUGGUCUGUCCAAUAAGGCGUUUAUGAGAGAGGGAGUCCUGUCUUAUAGAGAAGGCUGUUAUUGUUGAUACAGUUCCUGGUCUGGCCAAUAAGGUGUCUAUGAGAGAGGGAGUCCUGUCUUAUAGAGAAGGCUGUUAUUGUUGAUACAGUUCCUGGUCUGGCCAAUAAGGUGUCUAUGAGAGAGGGAGUCCUGUCUUUAUAGAGAAGGCUGUUAUUGUUGAUACAGUUCCUGGUCUGGCCAAUAAGGUGUCUAUGAGAGAGGGAGUCCUGUCUUUAUAGAGAAGGCUGUUAUUGUUGAUACAUUUCCUGGUCUGGCCAAUAAGGUGUCUAUGAGAGAGGGAGUCCUGUCUUUAUAGAGAAGGCUGUUAUUGUUGAUACAGUCACAAUUAUUGCUGUUUGUAUAUAGUAGUUGUUGUUAGUUUAUUCCAGAGAACCACAAGCAUGACCUUUUUUGUAUAUUAUGAAGUAAAAUGUUAUUGUAUUCACUAAUUGAAUAAUUUUGUGCUCUGUUACAAAUGUACCAUCUGAACUGACAAACAAUAAACAAAAGGACAAAUA
This 2480-nucleotide long non-coding RNA is filed under the name Haliotis rubra (blacklip abalone). RNAcentral's name for it is "uncharacterized LOC124268608, transcript variant X2". Lineage: Eukaryota; Metazoa; Mollusca; Gastropoda; Lepetellida; Haliotidae. The record is from RNAcentral.